Molecule: unclassified non-coding RNA, 279 nt
Filed under: plant metagenome
Description: partial contains small subunit ribosomal RNA, internal transcribed spacer 1, and 5.8S ribosomal RNA
Rfam family: 5.8S ribosomal RNA (bases 235-279)
Source: RNAcentral
UCUCCGUAGGUGAACCUGCGGAAGGAUCAUUAUUGUAUAACCGAGGUGCGAGGGCAGUCCCUGACCCUAAUGGUCGUGCACGUGUGAGCGCCCUCACACACCUCCACCUCACCCCCAUGUCCACCACCGCGUGGCUCCUCCUUUCGCCUGCUCGGCGGCGGGCUUACGUUUUCACACAAACUUAGCCUGCAGUGUAGAAUGUAUUUUUUGCUUUUGCGAACACGCAAUCCAUCCAACUUUCAACAACGGAUCUCUUGGCCCUCGCACCGAUGAAGAACG